CCGGGAGACGUGAGAGGUAUUCGUAGGGUAGCGGUAAAAUGCUAUAAUCCUACGAGGACCACCUGUGGCGAAGGCGUCUCGCGAGAACGGCUCCGACGGUGAGGGAUGAAGGCCAGGGGAGCGAAUGGGAUUAGAUACCCCAGUAGUCCUGGCAGUAAACCAUGCGAGCUAGGUGUCGCGUAUCCUCCGAGGUUACCCGGUGUCGUAGAGAAGUCGUUAAGCUCGCCGCCUGGGAAGUACGGUCGCAAGGCUGAAACUUAAAGGAAUUGGCGGGGGAGCACUACAAGGGGUGCGGCGUGCGGUUUAAUUGGAUUCAACGCCGAAAAUCUCACCAGGGGAGACGGCAGAAUGAAGGUCAGUCUAAAGGGCUUACCUGACGAGCCGAGAGGUGGUGCAUGGCCGUCGUCAGCUCGUGCCGUGAGGUGUCCUGUUAAGUCAGGCAACGAGCGAGACCUGCGCCCCCACUUGCCAGUGAGCAGCUUUGGGUGAUCGGCCACUGUGUAGGGACUGCCUGGGAAACCAGGAGGAAGGUGCAGGCAACGGUAGGUCAGUAUGCCCCGAAUCCACCGGGCUACACGCGCGCAACAAUGGACGAGACAAUGGGCUGCAACCCCGAAAGGUGAAGGGAAUCCUCUAAACUCGUCCCCAGUACGGAUGAGGCUGCAACUCACCCUCAUGAAGCCGGAUCC
RNAcentral lists this ribosomal RNA (689 nucleotides) under uncultured archaeon. RNAcentral's name for it is "bacterial SSU rRNA". It matches the Rfam family "Archaeal small subunit ribosomal RNA", at positions 599 to 1289 of the family's 1478-position model. The record is from RNAcentral.